RNAcentral lists this ribosomal RNA (468 nucleotides) under uncultured bacterium. Its description in RNAcentral is "partial 16S ribosomal RNA". It matches the Rfam family "Bacterial small subunit ribosomal RNA", at positions 28 to 507 of the family's 1533-position model. The record is from RNAcentral.
GACGAACGCUGGCGGCGUGCUUAACACAUGCAAGUCGAACGGAAAGGCCCUGCUUUUGUGGGGUGCUCGAGUGGCGAACGGGUGAGUAACACGUGAGUAACCUGCCCUUGACUUUGGGAUAACUUCAGGAAACUGGGGCUAAUACCGGAUAGGAGCUCCUGCUGCAUGGUGUGGGUUGGAAAGUUUCGGCGGUUGGGGAUGGACUCGCGGCUUAUCAGCUUGUUGGUGGGGUAGUGGCUUACCAAGGCUUUGACGGGUAGCCGGCCUGAGAGGGUGACCGGCCACAUUGGGACUGAGAUACGGCCCAGACUCCUACGGGAGGCAGCAGUGGGGAAUAGUGCACAAUGGGCGGAAGCCUGAUGCAGCAACGCCGCGUGCGGGAUGACGGCCUUCGGGUUGUAAACCGCUUUCGCCUGUGACGAAGCGUGAGUGACGGUAAUGGGUAAAGAAGCACCGGCUAACUACGUG